GACGGACGCUGGCGGCGUGCUUAACACAUGCAAGUCGAACGGAAAGGCCCUGCUUUUGUGGGGUGCUCGAGUGGCGAACGGGUGAGUAACACGUGAGUAACCUGCCCUUGACUUUGGGAUAACUUCAGGAAACUGGGGCUAAUACCGGAUAGGAGCUACUGCUGCAUGGUGGGGGUUGGAAAGUUUCGGCGGUUGGGGAUGGACUCGCGGCUUAUCAGCUUGUUGGUGGGGUAGUGGCUUACCAAGGCUUUGACGGGUAGCCGGCCUGAGAGGGUGACCGGCCACAUUGGGACUGAGAUACGGCCCAGACUCCUACGGGAGGCAGCAGGGGGGAAUAUUGCACAAUGGGCGGAAGCCUGAUGCAGCAACGCCGCGUGCGGGAUGACGGCCUUCGGGUUGUAAACCGCUUUCGCCUGUGACGAAGCGUGAGUGACGGUAAUGGGUAAAGAAGCACCGGCUAACUACGUG
This 468-nucleotide ribosomal RNA is filed under the name uncultured bacterium. RNAcentral's name for it is "partial 16S ribosomal RNA". It matches the Rfam family "Bacterial small subunit ribosomal RNA", at positions 28 to 507 of the family's 1533-position model. The record is from RNAcentral.